CAGGGCACUAAUUGGCCCUGACCUGAAUGCUUUUUUUUUUUGCCAAACUUUACUGGAAGUUUAUCUCAACAGAAAAUUUUGUAAUAGACGUGUGCUGCGCAAGCAAGCAAUAUCCUGCAGAGCAAGAACAGUAUGGGUUAUUCAUUAUCAAGUCAGUACACGUGGUGAGCUCCACCCAGCUGCUCUUGAAACGUCUUAUUUUUGCUGUGAUGCAUCAGGGAGUCAACCAUGUCUUCGGGAGUGCCCUUGGAAAUUUUCAAGAGAAAAAUUAUUGACUCGAGAUGGAGAAGAACUGGGACAAGAAUGCCCUUGCUUCCAGACUCUUCAUCACCCAUCUGUGAUUCUUACAUUCAUGUGACUUGAACCAGAAAGCCAUAAUGUAACCAAACGCAAUAAUCAGGCGGGGGAAAGAAGGGAAGGAGAUUCCUUUGGUGCUUUGCUGAAAGCUG
RNAcentral lists this long non-coding RNA (449 nucleotides) under Gallus gallus (chicken). Its description in RNAcentral is "lncRNA (ENSGALG00010021517.1)". The record is from RNAcentral. Lineage: Eukaryota; Metazoa; Chordata; Aves; Galliformes; Phasianidae.